UAGGCAUUGUUUAAAGGCCAUUCCUCAAAUUCCGUGUUUACUGUCAGCAGGAGGAAAAGAAAAAUGCUCAUUUUCAACUGCAAGGAGGAGUAGAUCAGCAGUGAAAUCCAACCCCCAAAUACCUCCAGCUAGUGAGGGACUGGGAGCUGACAAGAUGGGAUGAAGCCAAAAGAAAACAAGGAUAUUAAGUUCCCUGAUACUUUUGGCCAUCACUUCUGUUCCUGGCAGUUACCUGUGGCUGCUUUAAAUGCCACUGGAUGCGAGGGGAUGUUUACAUUUCCCCAGUUACAUUGUCUUUGAACGGUUCUAAACUUGACUUUGAUUAAACACACUAAUAACAAGAGGCUCCUUUUCUUUUUUUUUUUUUCCCUUUUUUAUUUUUUUAUGAAUGUCACUUGCUUGAGUUGAAAAGACAUGCUCUUAAUACUCGCUUUUCAUCUAAAUCAAGAAAGCAACACUAAGCAAAAAAGUAUUUAACUGUAGCAUAUAGGAUUGUAAAGAUGGUAAUCAGGGACACUGGUAAUUGAAGCUUUUGGGGGAGAACCUUUCUUCUGAAUCCUUCAGUCUGUUUAAUAGGAUAAAAUUAGCUUGAGUGGCUUGGUGUUUGAAGAGGUUAUGAUAUAAUUGGAGCUGCCUCCUGGGUUUGCUGCUGGACAAGGCGAUCAGGUGGAGACAUGGGAGGGCAUGGGAACCUCUGAAGUAGAAGACUCAGCUUCUGCCAUACUAAUUAGCCUAAAUUAGCUAUGCCAGUUUUCUGCUUGCUUUUGAAUUUCCCUGAUAAUGCUUUUAUCGGGAGCGUAAGAAAGGGAAUAUGAAAACACGCGCAAAGUUCACCGCGGAAUGGCAGAGGCGCUGGCAACCGCCGACGUAAGGCUCAGGCUUUAUUGCUGCAAGCUUCAAAAAAGGGAAAAAAAGAAAAAAAAAAAAACAGGGGAAAAAAAAAAAGGAAAAAAAGGUUGAAUAGCAUUAGGAAAUAACAAAUGGAUAUCAAGUACAACCCCUAGGGAUUUAGAAAGUACUAUGGCUUGCGCUCUCGAACACGGAAGUUUACAAAACAUCUGUAAGAAAUUGAUUAUCUUGAGGAUUAUACACACAUUAUUUUGAGGCCAGCCUCCUCCCCCCAAACCCCAGCUUUGCUCUUGAGUGUUUAACCCAAGGUGAAGGAGGCGGUUCUCCUCCAGGCAGAAGCAGCUCCAGCACCUCCUCUUGUGCUCCAUCAUCCUCAAGGCCCGGGAGAGGCUGCUUGUGUUUUGUGAGCUGCUGCCAUUUUUUAAUUUUCACUUCCGACCCCAAUUAAUCA
Molecule: long non-coding RNA, 1300 nt
Filed under: Cyanistes caeruleus (blue tit)
Lineage: Eukaryota; Metazoa; Chordata; Aves; Passeriformes; Paridae
Description: lncRNA (ENSCCEG00000010958.1)
Source: RNAcentral